AACCAAGAUCAAGCAAACAUUGUCGCAUGAUGUGUUUUAUCAUACAAACUUUGCAUCUCUGUAUUCAAGGUCUCCAGGUCUAAAAAAAGACCAUUUUCAUCAGAUGCAAAACUUAUUAGAAAUUGGCCUCACUUAACUGCUCAACCAACCCAAAACCUAAGAGGUAAGAAUCCAGUCUAUCUAAAUGCUCGUGUUGUUGCAGAACUAAGUAUGCUUACCAGAAAGAACUAACAAAAAUGGAGAUUUUAUGACUAAUUUAACAAAUUUUCACCAAACAGUAAAACUAGACCAUUGCAUCAAAUAGCGCAACAAUUAAACAAGAAAAACUAGUAGGGAUCAAG
Molecule: unclassified non-coding RNA, 341 nt
Filed under: Hevea brasiliensis (rubber tree)
Lineage: Eukaryota; Viridiplantae; Streptophyta; Magnoliopsida; Malpighiales; Euphorbiaceae
Source: RNAcentral